AGUAAAAUGACCGAGGUUUAGGUGAUAAAUUGUAAAUUUAUUUACGGAAUAAUUCCUUUUACUA
This 64-nucleotide transfer RNA is filed under the name Drilaster sp. FM16. RNAcentral describes it as "tRNA-Tyr". The record is from RNAcentral. RNAcentral also lists the same sequence under 1 other name. Lineage: Eukaryota; Metazoa; Arthropoda; Insecta; Coleoptera; Lampyridae.